Molecule: transfer RNA, 82 nt
Filed under: Echinostoma caproni
Lineage: Eukaryota; Metazoa; Platyhelminthes; Trematoda; Plagiorchiida; Echinostomatidae
Rfam family: tRNA
About the family: Transfer RNA (tRNA) molecules are approximately 80 nucleotides in length. Their secondary structure includes four short double-helical elements and three loops (D, anti-codon, and T loops). Further hydrogen bonds mediate the characteristic L-shaped molecular structure. tRNAs have two regions of fundamental functional importance: the anti-codon, which is responsible for specific mRNA codon recognition, and the 3' end, to which the tRNAs corresponding amino acid is attached (by aminoacyl-tRNA synthetases). tRNAs cope with the degeneracy of the genetic code in two manners: having more than one tRNA (with a specific anti-codon) for a particular amino acid; and 'wobble' base-pairing, i.e. permitting non-standard base-pairing at the 3rd anti-codon position.
Source: Rfam by way of RNAcentral
AGCCUCGUAACUCAGCUGGUAGAGCCUGCGCGUACAAAGCGUAGGCGGAGUUCAUGCGUGGGUUCGAAUCCCACCGAAGGUA